CGAACGGAGAAUUGCUAGCUUGCUAAUAAUUCUCUAGUGGCGCACGGGUGAGUAACACGUGAGUACCUGCCCCCAAGAGUGGGAUAGCCCCGGGAAACUGGGAUUAAUACCGCAUAAAGCAAUAAAGCAGCAAUGCGCUUGGGGAUGGGCUCGCGUCCUAUUAGUUAGUUGGUGAGGUAACGGCUCACCAAGGCGAUGACGGGUAGCCGGUCUGAGAGGAUGUCCGGCCACACUGGAACUGAGACACGGUCCAGACACCUACGGGUGGCAGCAGUCGAGAAUCAUUCACAAUGGGGGAAACCCUGAUGGUGCGACGCCGCGUGGGGGAUAAGGUCUUCGGAUUGUAAACCCCUGUCAUGUGGGACAUUAAAAGAUAGUACCACAAGAGGAAGAGACGGCUAACUCUGUGCCAGCAGCCGCGGUAAUACAGAGGUCUCAAGCGUUGUUCGGAAUCACUGGGCGUAAAGCGUGCGUAGGCGGUUUCGUAAGUCGUGUGUGAAAGGCGGGGGCUCAACCCCCGGACUGCACAUGAUACUGCGAGACUAGAGUAAUGGAGGGGGAACCGGAAUUCUCGGUGUAGCAGUGAAAUGCGUAGAUAUCGAGAGGAACACUCGUGGCGAAGGCGGGUUCCUGGACAUUAACUGACGCUGAGGCACGAAGGCCAGGGGAGCGA
Molecule: ribosomal RNA, 673 nt
Filed under: uncultured bacterium
Lineage: Bacteria
Description: bacterial SSU rRNA
Rfam family: Bacterial small subunit ribosomal RNA
Source: RNAcentral